AACGAACGCUGGCGGCAUGCCUAACACAUGCAAGUCGAACGAGACCUUCGGGUCUAGUGGCGCACGGGUGCGUAACGCGUGGGAACCUGCCCUUAGGUUCGGAAUAACUCCCCGAAAGGGGUGCUAAUACCGGAUAAUGUCUUCGGACCAAAGAUUUAUCGCCUUUGGAUGGGCCCGCGUUGGAUUAGCUAGUUGGUAGGGUAAAAGCCUACCAAGGCGCCGAUCCAUAGCUGGUCUGAGAGGAUGAUCAGCCACACUGGGACUGAGACACGGCCCAGACUCCUACGGGAGGGAGCAGAGGGGAAUAGUGGACAAGGGGCGAAAGCCUGAACCAGCAAUGCCGCGUGAGAGAUGAAGGCCUUAGGGUUGUAAAGGUCUUUUACCCGGGAUGAUAAUGACAGUACCGGGAGAAUAAGCUCCGGCUAACUCCGUG
RNAcentral lists this ribosomal RNA (433 nucleotides) under uncultured bacterium. Its description in RNAcentral is "partial 16S ribosomal RNA". It matches the Rfam family "Bacterial small subunit ribosomal RNA", at positions 29 to 507 of the family's 1533-position model. The record is from RNAcentral.